This 304-nucleotide unclassified non-coding RNA is filed under the name uncultured fungus. RNAcentral's name for it is "sequence contains ITS1". The stretch from base 1 to 105 matches the Rfam family "5.8S ribosomal RNA", at positions 50 to 154 of the family's 154-position model. Lineage: Eukaryota; Fungi. The record is from RNAcentral.
GAAAUGCGAUAAGUAGUGUGAAUUGCAGAAUUCAGUGAAUCAUCGAAUCUUUGAACGCACAUUGCGCCCCUUGGUAUUCCAUGGGGCAUGCCUGUUCGAGCGUCAUCUACACCCUCAAGCUCUGCUUGGUGUUGGGCGUCUGUCCCGCCUCCGCGCGUUGGACUCGCCCCAAAUUCAUUGGCAGCGUUCCUUGCCCCCUCUCGCGCAGCACAUUGCGUUUCUUGAGGGCGGCUCCGGGACGCGACCCACGAAGAUGACCACCGUCUUUGACCUCGGAUCAGGUAGGGAUACCCGCUGAACUUAA